This 45-nucleotide non-coding RNA is filed under the name Schistosoma margrebowiei. Lineage: Eukaryota; Metazoa; Platyhelminthes; Trematoda; Strigeidida; Schistosomatidae. The record is from RNAcentral.
AUCCAUCUGUCGAGUCCCUAAUAGGCCGAAACGCGCGUCCUGCAU